UACGUGGCCGACACGGCAGAAAAACCAGUUGAGAUCCCACCAGUGGCAGCACCAUUCACUAAGGAGCAGGCUGGUGCCCUGGAGAAAUUCAUCAAGCAGGUUAUGAACAAGGGUGCGUCAACUUCUCAGAAUCCAGCAGAUAUGUACUCCAGUUUGUUUGCUAAUCAAGGUAACCUAUCUCAUACCUAUUCAGUUAAAUCUCAAAGGUGUGUAAAUUAGAUUGUUGAUUCAGGCUGCUCAGAACAUAUGACUGGUUCUAGGGAUGUGUUAAUCGAUUAUCAGCCAGCCCUAUCCUAAGAAAGCAGGAGUUAGGAUAGAUGUUGGUAGCUUAUCCUCAGUGGAAGGGAUAGGCAGAGUUUGGAUCAACUCUCAUAUAAAACUAUUCCCAGUCUUAUAUGUACCGAAUUUAACCUGCAAUCUAGUGUCCAUUAGUCAACUUACAAAGGAUUUAAGUUGCAAAGCUAUCUUCCGUUCUAAUCGAUGUUCCCUGCAGGAGGAAGGCUAUGGGAGGACGAUUGGAACUGCUAAAUUGCAUGAAAACUUGUUCAUCCUUGAGGGAGCUACGGAUGAGG
RNAcentral lists this long non-coding RNA (572 nucleotides) under Linum usitatissimum (flax). Its description in RNAcentral is "long non-coding RNA (LUSI_LNC006199)". Lineage: Eukaryota; Viridiplantae; Streptophyta; Magnoliopsida; Malpighiales; Linaceae. The record is from RNAcentral.